This 74-nucleotide transfer RNA is filed under the name Planctomycetia bacterium. RNAcentral describes it as "tRNA-Arg". It matches the Rfam family "tRNA". Rfam says of the family: Transfer RNA (tRNA) molecules are approximately 80 nucleotides in length. Their secondary structure includes four short double-helical elements and three loops (D, anti-codon, and T loops). The record is from RNAcentral. Lineage: Bacteria; Pseudomonadati; Planctomycetota; Planctomycetia.
GCCCCCGUAGCUCAGUGGAUAGAGCGACGGUUUCCUAAACCGUAGGUCACAGGUUCGAUCCCUGUCGGGGGUAC